AAUCUUGCGAUCGUACUCCCCAGGCGGCAGGCAAGUCUGGUGUCAGCGCCCGCGGUAAUACCAGCACCCCGAGUGGUCGGGACGAUUAUUGGGCCUAAAGCAUCCGUAGCCGGUUCUGCCCAAGUCUUCCGUUAAAUCCACCUGCUCAACAGAUGGGCUGCGGAGGAUACUACAGGGCUAGGAGGCGGCUGAGGCAAGCGGUACUCAGUGGGUAGGGGUAAAAUCUCACUCUGAUCCACUGAAGACCACCAGUGGCGAAGGCGGCUUGCCAGAACGCGCUCGACGGUGAGGGAUGAAAGCUGGGGGAGCAAACCGGAUUAGAUACCCGGGUAGUCCCAGCUGUAAACGAUGCAGACUCGGUGAUGGGUUGGCUUUGGGCCAACCCAGUGCCGCAGGGAAGCCGUUAAGUCUGCCGCCUGGGGAGUACGGUCGCAAGACUGACAACUUAAAGGAAUUGGCGGGGGAGCACCACAAGGGGUGAAGCCUGCGGUUCAAUUGGAGUCAACGCCGGAAAUCUUACCGGGGUGGCGACAGCAGAGUGAAGGUCAAGCUGAAGACUUUACCAGACAAGCUGAGAGGAGGUGCAUGGCCGUCGCCAGCUCGUGCCGUGAGGUGUCCUGUUAAGUCAGGUAACGAGCAAGAUCCCUGCCUCUAGUUGCUACUGCUGGUCUCAGGACUAGAAGGGCUAAUUAGAGGGACCGCCGCCGCUGAGGCGGAGGAAGGAGGGGGCUACGCGAGGUCAGUAUGCCCCGAAACCCUCGGGCCACACGCGGGCUGCAAUGGUAAGGACAACGGGCUCCGAUUCCGAAAGGAGGAGGCAAUCCCACAAACCUUACCUCAGUUUGAUUGGCAGGGCUGAAACUCGCUCUGAUAGCAG
Molecule: ribosomal RNA, 877 nt
Filed under: uncultured archaeon
Lineage: Archaea
Description: bacterial SSU rRNA
Rfam family: Archaeal small subunit ribosomal RNA
Source: RNAcentral